GUCAUUAUUUUCAAAAAAUAGUUUUCUGAAAUUCUCUUUUUGCAGCAGCUAAAGGAAAGUAGUCCAUCUAUUAGUUAUCGAUUAAUUAAGUUCCUCAGAUAUAAUUGAAGUUAAGCGAAAAUGCGUACCCUCUCUUAUUCGGAAUUGAAUGUGGAUUCAUUCAUAUUGUGGAUGAUCAUAGUCGUUGUGUUUCUACUACUUCCAAUACUGACUUUCAUUUUUAUCAAGAAGUUGAUCAUUCUUCGUCGCCAUAGGAAUCCUCUUAGGCGAUAUAUACCACUUAUUUACAAUCAUGUGCCUAACGUAAAUGAUUACCAAUUUCGUAUGAAUAGGAACUAAAACAAACUCAUACCGAAAAUUUAUUUAUGUACGGACUAAACAAUAUAUUUAAUAAACUAUAUUAAAUCUUGGAUGGAUUUGAUUUUAAUUUAAAAGCAAUUUGGUCCGUUCGAGCUGCUUUAUAUUUGAAUAUUACCUUUAGUCAAAUUGAAAUUCUGAUGUUGGAAUGAAACACUGCUGAAAUCUCAGUUGACAAAUAUUAUUGAACAUUUAUUUUUAAACAAAUUAUUAUUGUAUAGUUGUAAGAAUAAAUUUAUGUUAAAU
Teleopsis dalmanni is the source of this 603-nucleotide long non-coding RNA. RefSeq lists it as uncharacterized. NCBI's taxonomy places the organism in Eukaryota, Metazoa, Arthropoda, Insecta, Diptera, Diopsidae. The record is from RefSeq and is a predicted model, not a curated record. The transcript has 3 exons.